CCUACGUGAGGCAGCAGUGAGGAAUAUUGGUCAAUGGACGAGAGUCUGAACCAGCCAAGUAGCGUGAAGGAUGACUGCCCUAUGGGUUGUAAACUUCGUUUAUAUGGGAAUAAAAUGUUCCACGUGUGGGAUUUUGUAUGUACCAUAUGAAUAAGGAUCGGCUAACUCCGUGCCAGCAGCCGCGGUAAUACGGAGGAUCCGAGCGUUAUCCGUAUUUAUUGGGGUUAAAGGGAACGUAGGUGGAUUGUUAAGGCAGUUGUGAAAGUUUGCGGCUCAACCGUAAAAUUGCAGUUGAAACUGGCAGUCUUGAGUACAGUAGAGGUGGGCGGAAUUCGUGGUGUAGCGGUGAAAUGCUUAGAUAUCACGAAGAACUCCGAUUGCGAAGGCAGCUCACUGGACUGCAACUGACACUGAGGCUCGAAAGUGUGGGUAUCAAACAGGAUUAGAUACCCGAGUAGUC
Molecule: ribosomal RNA, 460 nt
Filed under: uncultured bacterium
Lineage: Bacteria
Description: partial 16S ribosomal RNA
Rfam family: Bacterial small subunit ribosomal RNA
Source: RNAcentral